CCUACGGGAGGCAGCAGUGGGGAAUAUUGCACAAUGGGGGAAACCCUGAUGCAGCGACGCCGCGUGAGUGAAGAAGUAUUUCGGUAUGUAAAGCUCUAUCAGCAGGGAAGAAGCAAGACGGUACCUGACUAAGAAGCCCCGGCUAACUACGUGCCAGCAGCAGCGGUAAUACGUAGGGGGCAAGCGUUAUCCGGAUUUACUGGGGUGAAAGGGAGCGUAGACGGUAUGGCAAGUCUGAAGUGAACGCCUAGGGCUUAACCCUGGGACUGCUUUGGAAAAUGGUAGACUAGAGUGCUGGAGAGGUCAGUGGAAUUCCUAGUGUAGCGGUGAAAUGCGUAGAUAUUAGGAGGAACACCAGUGGCGAAGGCGGCUUACUGGACAGUAACUGACGUUGAGGCUCGAAAGCGUGGGGAGCAAACAGGAUUAGAUACCCUUGUAGUC
RNAcentral lists this ribosomal RNA (441 nucleotides) under uncultured bacterium. RNAcentral describes it as "partial 16S ribosomal RNA". It matches the Rfam family "Bacterial small subunit ribosomal RNA", at positions 338 to 795 of the family's 1533-position model. The record is from RNAcentral.